GUUCUCUUUUACACUUCACCUAGAGAACCACAUAAGUCAUGCAGUGGAGCAUGGAGGUUACUUCAUCUUAAAAUGAAUGGCCCAUGGAAGAUCAUUAAAACCAAGGUUGUCAGAGUCCACCAUCACCAAACAGCCAGCUAGUACGGAAACUGUGAUGGGUCAAGAUGACAGUGAUGAG
This is a long non-coding RNA of Carassius carassius (crucian carp), 178 nucleotides long. RefSeq lists it as uncharacterized. The transcript has 3 exons. The record is from RefSeq and is a predicted model, not a curated record. Lineage: Eukaryota; Metazoa; Chordata; Actinopteri; Cypriniformes; Cyprinidae.